Molecule: ribosomal RNA, 752 nt
Filed under: uncultured bacterium
Lineage: Bacteria
Description: bacterial SSU rRNA
Rfam family: Bacterial small subunit ribosomal RNA
Source: RNAcentral
UUGAUCAUGGCUCAGAUUGAACGCUGGCGGCAGGCCUAACACAUGCAAGUCGAGCGGUAACAGGGGAAGCUUGCUUCUCGCUGACGAGCGGCGGACGGGUGAGUAAUGUAUGGGGAUCUGCCCGAUAGAGGGGGAUAACCACUGGAAACGGUGGCUAAUACCGCAUAAUCUCUUAGGAGCAAAGCAGGGGAACUUCGGUCCUUGCGCUAUCGGAUGAACCCAUAUGGGAUUAGCUAGUAGGUGGGGUAAUGGCUCACCUAGGCGACGAUCCCUAGCUGGUCUGAGAGGAUGAUCAGCCACACUGGGACUGAGACACGGCCCAGACUCCUACGGGAGGCAGCAGUGGGGAAUAUUGCACAAUGGGCGCAAGCCUGAUGCAGCCAUGCCGCGUGUAUGAAGAAGGCCUUAGGGUUGUAAAGUACUUUCAGUCGGGAGGAAGGCGUUGAUGCUAAUAUCAUCAACGAUUGACGUUACCGACAGAAGAAGCACCGGCUAACUCUGUGCCAGCAGCCGCGGUAAUACAGAGGGUGCGAGCGUUAAUCGGAUUUACUGGGCGUAAAGCGUGCGUAGGCGGCUAAUUGAGUCGGAUGUGAAAUCCCCGAGCUUAACUUGGGAAUUGCAUUCGAUACUGGUUAGCUAGAGUGUGGGAGAGGAUGGUAGAAUUCCAGGUGUAGCGGUGAAAUGCGUAGAGAUCUGGAGGAAUACCGAUGGCGAAGGCAGCCAUCUGGCCUAACACUGACGCUGAGGUACGA